This 360-nucleotide ribosomal RNA is filed under the name uncultured Hydrogenophaga sp. RNAcentral describes it as "bacterial SSU rRNA". It matches the Rfam family "Bacterial small subunit ribosomal RNA", at positions 30 to 392 of the family's 1533-position model. Lineage: Bacteria; Pseudomonadati; Pseudomonadota; Betaproteobacteria; Burkholderiales; Comamonadaceae. The record is from RNAcentral.
AUUGAACGCUGGCGGCAUGCUUUACACAUGCAAGUCGAACGGUAACAGGCCGCAAGGUGCUGACGAGUGGCGAACGGGUGAGUAAUGCAUCGGAACGUGCCCAGUCGUGGGGGAUAACGCAGCGAAAGCUGCGCUAAUACCGCAUACGAUCUAAGGAUGAAAGCGGGGGACCGUAAGGCCUCGCGCGAUUGGAGCGGCCGAUGUCAGAUUAGGUAGUUGGUGGGGUAAAGGCUCACCAAGCCGACGAUCAGUAUCUGGUUUGAGAGGAUGAUCAGACACACUGGAACUGAGACACGGUCCAGACUCCUACGGGAGGCAGCAGUGGGGAAUUUUCCGCAAUGGGCGAAAGCCUGACGGAGC